This 2207-nucleotide long non-coding RNA is filed under the name Lactuca sativa (garden lettuce). RNAcentral describes it as "long non-coding RNA (LSAT_LNC003433)". The record is from RNAcentral. Lineage: Eukaryota; Viridiplantae; Streptophyta; Magnoliopsida; Asterales; Asteraceae.
UCCAAUGAAGCACAUUUGGAUGAACCCGGUUCAACUCUUCAUGUUUCGGUUCCACACGCAUAAACGGGUCCGGAGGGAAAAGAGGUAAUAUGGUUUAGAAAAAAAGUAUUUAUACAAAUAGCAACAUAGCACACAUAGGGGUUGUUUGUAGAGGCUUAACUGAGCUGCAACUGUGCCAUUAGCUUCGUCACAUGACUGAAAGAUAUCAUCCACAAAAUAUGAAUGUUUCGUUAUGUAAUAUAAAUCUUGAUAUUAUUUCUUACCGAUAACCCAUUUCGUACGUGAAUGUGAAGAUAACAUAAAUCAAGAUCUAUUUCAGCCAACAAAGCAUGUCAGAUAUGAAAAUACUCUUCAGUGUUAACCAUCAUUAGGAGCCAGAUCGUCCAAACUUAUAACAUGCGUGCCCUAAAAUAACUACCUGCAAAAUUUAGUGAGGAAAUCAAAAUAUGUUAAAUGUUAGAAAAUAGAUUCGUGAGACUUGAGUGGAUUUCUUCAAAAAAUCAGGGACCUAAAAAAUCAUUAUUAAACAAAUACUUACAUUCAUCUAAAACUAAAGUGUAGGAAUCCAAUACAAAAAUGGACAUUUCCAGCAGCAAAUUCAAUUGACCUUGUUCUUGUGACCGGUUAAUUCUAAUUAACACCUUCAUCUCCCCAACCAUCCAUGAUCCCUACACCAGAAACGGGAGAAUUGUUCGAACAUCAAUAUUAAAACUUAAAGUAAUGAAGAUUAAGAGUAGAACCGAGAAACGAGAACUGGCCCGGGGUCCAAAAAACGUGACCACGUUCGAUCCGGUCCGGUUCAUCAGUCUUAUCCGGUCCAAAAACUAAUAGAAAGAAAACCCAUCAGUUUUCGUCCUUCAAGUGAGAACAUAAAUGUGUCACUGAUUUAUGAAGCCAACUCAUAGGCCAUCUAAGUUAACCAACAUUCUUUUGUACAGAAGCAACUGUAGUUCCAUUUUGUUUUCGUAGACAUGAGGAGGUAUUGCAGUUUUAAUUAAAUCUUCAAUGGUCAGUGCUCCUUCUAUCAGGUUCAAUGUUCUUAAUAUGUUUUCUAUGCUAAUUGUGGUGAUAAAUCCUAUAAAAUCAGCAUCAUUGUAACAUUUCCUAUAACUUUAUCAUGGAGUAAAAUCAAAAUCAAAUUGUGUUUAUAGACAGAAUACUUAUAACUAAGCAUUAUCCAGAAAUCAGACAUAACUGAAAAUCAUAAUGAAACUUAUUAACCCCUUUCCAAGUAGAAGAAUUAUGUGAACCAAUACAAUGUGAGACAGAUCAUCAUCAGAGGUUAGAGACCCAAUAAGCAUGACAUAGUUUCACAGUAGAUAAUCUUCUAAUCUAGGUGCCUUCUUCAAUUUGAUAAAUUGAUGAUUAGGAAGGCAUGUGAGAACCUGCACAUAAAGAGAUCGACUCAUACUAAUCUUAUUAUUAACAAAAUAUAACUCUUUAACCAACAUGAAUCCCUAAGAAGAUCAAGAAAAGAUUAAUCAAUUCAAACAUUUGUUUAUGUAGAAUUAUAAGGAAUGAUAGGUAAAUGUUUUUCAAUAUUAUCAUACUUACCAAACAGUCCAUCACCAAUCACUUCCAAUUCCAUAACUAAUAAUACCCUCUCUAUUCACAACUUCCCUUCACUAAACUUUUUUAAAAAAAAUAGGAAUCAUAAAUAAAAUCAAAAGUCAAUCAAAAACUAAAAUUAAAAUGAAUCACCAACCUCUACACUAUCAAAAACAAAUUGCCAACAUCUAAAAAGAUCGGGAAGGUUUAUCGAGAAGGAUUAGGAAGGUUUAUCGGUGAGGGAAACGACCAAGUUGUCGAUCGGGACGCCAUGUAAAAUCAUGGAGUUCUCGAUGACUUAGCCACCGUCGAUCAAUAAAGGCAAGCAAAGGUUGAAUAUCGGAGAGGGAGUGUGACAGAGGAGGGGGUGCGGUGGAGAUCGACCUGAUAAGGAAGAAACUGAACAUCAAUUAGGAGUUUUCGUGGGUGGAACAUGGAAGAAGAUAGAUAGAGAGCAUAGGAAGGAAGUCAUGAGAGGGUAGUUUGGAAAAGCAGACUGCGACAUGAAUGGAUUUUUGGGGCGGUGGGUGCUCACAUGUACAGAACACGUAUCACUUCGGAAGGAAGCGGUGGAUCACACCUGGUAACCCUGCUGGUAACCGUGGUAGAUAACCAACCCACAUGUCCACCAACAAUCUAUAUAAUGACACAAAAACGCA